RNAcentral lists this ribosomal RNA (514 nucleotides) under uncultured microorganism. RNAcentral's name for it is "bacterial SSU rRNA". It matches the Rfam family "Bacterial small subunit ribosomal RNA", at positions 9 to 521 of the family's 1533-position model. The record is from RNAcentral.
GAGUUUGAUCUUGGCUCAGAUUGAACGCUGGCGGCAGGCCUAACACAUGCAAGUCGAGCGGAUGAAGGGAGCUUGCUCCUGGAUUCAGCGGCGGACGGGUGAGUAAUGCCUAGGAACCUGCCUGGGUAGUGGGGGAUAACGUCCGGAAACGGGCGCUAAUACCGCAUACGUCCUGAGGGAGAAAGUGGGGGAUCUUCGGACCUCACGCUAUCAGAUGAGCCUAGGUCGGAUUAGCUAGUUGGUGGGGUAAAGGCCUACCAAGGCGACGAUCCGUAACUGGUCUGAGAGGAUGAUCAGUCACACUGGAACUGAGACACGGUCCAGACUCCUACGGGAGGCAGCAGUGGGGAAUAUUGGACAAUGGGCGAAAGCCUGAUCCAGCCAUGCCGCGUGUGUGAAGAAGGUCUUCGGAUUGUAAAGCACUUUAAGUUGGGAGGAAGGGCAGUAAGUUAAUACCUUGCUGUUUUGACGUUACCAACAGAAUAAGCACGGCUAAUCGUGCCAGCAGCGCAGU